GGACACGUGGCUCAGUGUUAUUUCUCUCAAGGGGAAAUGAAACUGGGGUUUUAUAACCAGCUGCACUGUUUGAGGGCUGUGGGUUAUGGGCAACCAGCCACGUGGCGAGGCACAGUGGACUCUGGCGGUCACAGAAAGCUCUCAGUCAAAGAAAUGUGAGGGCUGGCGGUUUAAAGUGUACAGGAGUGCACUGAAAUGUUAAAGAGCAAGAGGUAUGGGCAGGGCACCACCAGCAUCUGUUACAGCAUUCUCCUGAAAAUACUUUGAAUGAAAUUUGAACCAAACAUUUGCAGCAACUGUGGCCCAGCCCUGUGAGUCCAGGCUUCCAUGGAGCCCAGUCUGAAGGCCUUCGGCAUUUGUUGGCAUAACGAAUGAACAAAGUCUUCCAGGAUCUGGCUCCUGUAAACUACUUCUGUUCCCAUCCUGCCUUAAUCUCAGUCAAGUUUUCACCCAGUAGUACAGAUGAUCUGUGCUGGCGGGCCCCCAGACAUGCCAGGUGGAGCACACCUCCCUGCCUCUGCCUGUGAUGGCUUCUUGGCCUGGAGCGCAUUUUCCCUUCCUCUUACCCACCUAGUGCAACCUGUUCUCCCAGAUUCUGUGUGAAGCAUCUGGGCCUGCAUCUCGCUGUCUUCCAGAAAAGCAGGCAGGAAACAAGCGUGAGAAGGCCUGAGAAGAGGGCUAGUCAGCCUGGAGGGGAAUCAGUCAAUUAAGUCACCACGAUGACAAGAACUACUGCUAUAAAUGGGCCUGGGCACAGCGUAGCUGACUCUGGGUGAGCAUAGAGCUCAGCUGGUGGGAACAGAGCACGUGGUGCAGCCUCCUGGUGUGGGGCAUCCACCAGCGUAUUUCACAGGAAGUUGAAAAGCAUGUUCUUUGAGUGAAGGUACCUGGCCAAGAAGGGUGCUGAGUCUGGUGAAGAGUCGACAUGGUGCCACAGAGAGCGAUUCAUCCCACACACAGCACGGCCAGGCUGGAGGCAGCAGCCAGGGAAAGGGAGCAGGAGACGGGGUGAGGAGGAUGAGUGCUUCAGUCAAGUGGUGUUGGCUACAGCCCUUUCCUCUCCAGAAACUAAAUUUGUUUAACUGGCAAACUUAUGGGGCCAGUGAGUAAAAUUCAAGCCUCCUGCACUCAGUUGCAGCCCUUUCAAAACUCAUCUCCUCUCCCUGAGUGAGGCUGGGAGUGGCUGAGUAUUUGUUUCCCGCCGGCAGGUGGCUUGGCAGCCACAUCCUUGUAGAACAUGAUGCAGGAGCAAGAGAGAGGAUGAUUAUGAAUCAUGGAACAUCAGAGUGCCAAGGGUCCUCAGUGUCCUCUACUCCAACCAUCCCAGUUUACAGAUGAAGAGAUUGAGGUCCAGAUAGAGGGUGCGGCUUGCCACCGACUUGACCAUCAUGCUGACCAUGUUCAGCAAACGUAGAUACGCUAAUUUCAUAUUCCAAACUUCUGCCCCAAAUUCUCUGAAGCUCAGAGGGACAUUGCAUCACUGGAUGAUAACGAGAGGAGAAAAGUGACCAGUGGAAGUGCUGACAAGGUGACUACAGAAUACAAGGCUCAUUGCUGAGUGAGAAAGGAUCUUGAGUGACCAUGUAGUCUAAAGCUUUCAUUUUCCAGUUGAGGACACAAAGCUCUGAGCAGGGAGUGACAGAAUUAUCUGAAGCAUGAGCUAGGAGAAAAAAAUAAAAUUUGAAAUCUUGGAAAUUCAUCAAUUGAAAUAUGUAAUACCUGGGCUGCUAAGAGCCCCAAGUUGGCUGCAUUAAUUUUAUCUCAUGCAUCUCCAUCUCCAGUGCCUGGCACAGCACACGGAAGCUUUUCCAUCACCCUGGUAUUGGUGGCCAUGUGACUGGGGACUGACCAAUCAUAAUCACUCAUCCUCUGGCCACAGUGAUUGGACGAAGGAGUGGACAUAGGACCCAACCUACACCAAUCAAGUCCUUCCCUGAUACUGAUGCCCUGCUGCUGGGAGAGGAGCACUUUCUGCUGGGCUAAGCUGAGGCUGUGGUGGCCUCUGUGACAACUGCACUGCAGUCCUGCCCAGUCCUGCUUCCUUUAUCGCCUCACAGGUGUGGUAUCUGAGUGCUCGCCUCAAACACCGUCCCAUUAAUCACUUUCUCAGAGCGCUCUCCCAGGGACCAGACCAAAAGGAGGGGGCGGGGGAGGAGGGAGAGGCUAGGGGUGGUAGGGUGGGGUGCUGAUGUCCAACUUUAUAGAGAAUUUUCCUUCUAUUGCACGGUGUAAUUAAAAUAAAAGUAGGAGCAUUCAGAAAGCCCUCAGAGUCUGUCCAAAAGCUUUUUCCAAGAACGGAUCUAACCACAAGCAUUUCCAUCAGUGGCCAGGCGUGUGAGGAUAGUUUAGAGGUGAUUUUGGCUAAGGGCUGGUGAGCAACCCAGCCAUCCUCUCAAGCUUUGAGAGCCAUCCUCAUCCCAUUCUAGCUUUGAGUUUCUAUGAAGUCUGCUUCAUGUAUCUAAGAGCUUUAAUGAUGAUUUCAGAGACGUUUUGCCGUUUGCAUGGGUUGAGAUUCAAAGCCGUUUUUGGGAGUGGGCCUGGAUGAUGACUGCCUCUGAAUAACCAGAAGGGGAUGCAGCCAUUGGGCAGCCUAUUAACUCCAGUCUCAUUGCUUCAUCACUGACAUGAUUGCUGUUCUCAGGUCUACGGUGUGCAAAUCUGAAGCAGGCAUUCUGAGAGCUAAGACACCAAUAACCCGCUGCAGACCAGGGCAGAGACCCUCUCAGCAAGGCAUUUGUUCAGGGGCUAGGGCUGCCUCCCACACCAACCACCGAGGGCCGAGGGGGCCGGAGAUCAGCCUGCACUCUCUGGUGGAGCCGGGCAUCCAGGAGGCACUGUGCCCACCUGGAAGUCAGGCUGCCUUUUUCCAGUCUUCGCAAAGGCACCAUGCUGACUAGUUUCUCCCUACCAGGAGCUCACCUUCUCGCCUCCUAAUCAUUUUCCCACCUACAUUAAAAAGCAGGUUGGGGCCCCAGCAUGAAUGAUUGCCGGGGCCUGGGGCACACCUGGAUUGUGCACAGUUCAUGGGACACAAAGACAAUCUGUUUUCACGUUCAAUAGGCUGAUUGGAUAUGACAACUAAAUUUCUCAUGCUCAUUUCAAUGACAAGGAGAAUUUGGAGCACUAGGAAAAUAACUUGCUUUUUUUUGUAAAUAUCGCUUUUCAGGCAGAAAGUUCACAGAGUCUCCCUGUAAUCUGAGCUCACAAUCAGACAGAACGAUUAGAGCUGGGCAUGUAGAGUUUACAGAAAAGCUUAGAGUGAGACCAAAGAAGGGCAAAUAUGCUGUUUGCUUUCCUUUUUUCCCGCCCACACCCUAGUGCACACACUACUCUUGAAAACUUUCCGUGGUGGUGACUCUAACUUCAGUGUUAUGAGCACCUGAAGGGGAAGGUGGGGUCCUGCCAGGGGCACACUGCAGCCCGGGCCUCAGGGCCAGGGCCUCUGGAUCACUCUGAUGGAGCAAAUAGACACUAUGUAAGGUGCAGGGCAGGCCACUUCUUGGAAGUUACUUCCACCUCAAUGACACGUGGGCUGAGGGACCUGGGGCUGGGGAGAGCAGUCAGCACAUUGGUGCCCCAAUCUCUCAUUCUGAGUAGGAGGGAGAGAGUCUCUAGAGACACUAGAGUAUAUGAGAAGAGAACUUGACCUUAAGCUGUACUCUAGAUUCAUUUAAUUUAAUAAUAUUAAUAAACGAAUACAUAAAACUAAUAUCACAAAUGAACAGGCUAGCCUGAGUGACAGCCCCGUGGGUGUCACUUGCUUGGUGCAAUUUGAGUAACUCUGCCUUUGCGUUUAACAUUGCUUUAACUGAGGAACUUCUUUCUAAUGGGAAAGAGAAGCAGUAAGUCACUAACACCUUAGCAAGAGUGAGUAGUCUGGAACCAAGGGAACAAAAAGAGAGGUCUGGAAGCUGUAUAGGGGUUGGAAUGAUGGGUGGGGAUCUGAAAGCGAAGGGGGAAGAGGGUUUGCUGGGUAAGUUUGUCCCCGGCCUGCAAGCACAUCUUUUCCAUGAGCUUGAUCAGAGUUAAAAGGGCAGCUAUGUCCAGUCUUAGCCUCUGCUUUGCAGCCGUGCAUUGCGAGUGUGGAUUUCUUUGUUUCCAUACAACAGAAGUGCCUUAUCCUCCAGACAUAAACAAUGAAUCCCACAGCCUGAUGCUCCUGGGUCUAGUCUGGGCUGCAGGACUGCCCCAGGAUCCGGGAACAGCCUGUCUUUCUAAAAACCAAGCCUCUCAGCAAAUCUGUUUUGAAUUCCAAAGUUAGGGUGAAGCAUCUGAGAAAAUAAACGCAGGUGGAAGUGACUGGUAGUGGGAACACAGUUGCUCUGUUUGUUCUGUGGGGUUGGGUACCUCCCAGAGAUAGUCUUUCUCUUAUGAACAAGAACAGCCUGUAGGAUCUGGAGAAAAAAAGCAACAGGACAGUCAGAGAGUGCGCAGCUCUGGAGCUUGUGGCGUUUGCAUUCCAAGAUGUUUUUCUGCACAAAAGACCUAGACCACAUGGCCGUCCACCCAUCUGUCCAACCGUCCACUCAUCCAUCCUCCAAACAGACCUGGAUGCCCAUCACAUGUGCCAGACUGAGGACAGUCAGCCACAGGCGCCCAUCUCCUCACAGGUGGGCAGGACGUAGGCAGUCCUCUUUGCUAAAGGAAACAGCUCACGGAUGUAAUAAGGCCCAGGAAGAUGCAGUUAGCACAGACAUAAGGAGCCCAGGUUCUGGAGUUUUCCCUGUUUUAAUGCUGAUUCUGACAUUUUCUAGCCAUGUAGGAAAGUUAUCUAACCUCUUGGUGCCUUGGUUCCCUCCUCUGUCAAACGAGGGAAUAAUAAUAGUUCUGACUCUCCAGGAUUGUUGUAGGAAUUAAAGGAGAUGUGACUAUAAAGUGCUGAGCACAGUGACUGGCACAUACAAUGUGCUCAAUGAAUUGUAGCUGCUAUUACUCUAAGUAGGACAUUUGGAGAACCACAGUGACUUCUGUGGAGGCUAAGGAGGUAAUGGGAAAGGGGAGAUUACUAAGGGACAGAAAGAGGUGUCAGAGGCCGAGACCACGCUCUGGAGAUACUCUAUAAAUGCCCCAGCCACUCGGCAUGGAGGGAGUGGUGGGGUGGGGUGGUGGUUAAAACCUAGGGUUUUCUCCAUCUGUUUGUCUUCGUGUUCCCAGACGUCCAGCAAUAGCUCAAGGCAAUUGUUCUGUCAAAAAGGGUCUUGAUGGGGACAGCCAGGGAAAAGGGAACAUCCCCAGGAAGAAUAGAGGCGGGCAGGUCCGAGACCUAGGUGGCAGAAUGCUUGCGGGAUCCUGAUAAGGGCGAACUGUCAGCGAGGGAGGCCUGCCCAGGCUUUAGAGCCAAGGCAUGUCAGAGCCCCCGGGCCUGCUGCACCCUGCUCUUCUCUACUAAAUAUUCCCCAAGGAAGCAGCUGAUAACGAGGAAAAGUUGGAGGAGAGACAACGGCCGGGUCUAAUGCCGAGGGAUUCAUGAUGAAUGUGGCGACUUCUGCAAACCCACUAGAAUGUCUGGAGAAAGGAGAGACGCUGGUUAGGAGUCAGACAUCUGGGUGAUACAGAGAGGCCAGCUGAUGUUUUCCCUGGCAGAAGAGAGCGAUGAACGCCCUAGAGAAGUCCCACAGGCUUCUUUUGGCCAGCUGGUCCUUGGAACAGGAACAUGGGGUCAGAGUUGGGAUGGGGGAGGAUGCUACGAUUAAUAGGAAUCAGGCUCCUUCUGAUCCUGGGACCUGCAAUAAAACUUCUCUGGCUCUUUCUGUAUGUCUUAAAGGUGGAGGGUAGGUGUCUGGGCAUGCCCUGCAAAUGGCAGUGAGGCCCCCCACCUGGCUGCCUCCAUCUCAGAUGGUGGAGGGUCUUGAUAAAUGUAAAGCCUCAUGAAGACUGGAGACCCGGAACAAAGGAAGGAGAGAUUGCCAAAGAAUUCUGUCUGCUGGUCCUGAAUCUGUUCUGGGAGAGAGACAGGCUAAGGGGGAAGGUGAUGGUUGUCUCCAGGCUUACACAGAAGAGAACUCAGUGCUUUAGGGACAGAUGCUCCUGAGAUUCCAGCAAGUCCACCCCAAAGAUACUGGGACAAACUGGCUGAGUUUGUCCAGGAUAUGCCACUUGUACGACACCCAGAUAAUCCCAGCUUGUCCUUUAAGACACGUCGAGGUUGGCUCAAAUGCCACAGACCCCUGGAAAGUACAAAUCACCCCUCAGGUAUCUGCAAGUUCUGUGGGGGCUGGUUCCUAGGUGGCCUUGGCUCUGAGUCCCUGUGGAUGAGAGUGGGUGAGUCCCGCACGUGAAUUAGUUCUGCUUCUGACUCUGCUCCUGGUUCUGUAGAUGCUGUCCUGGUUUCACACCACCGUGACCCAUAAGUGGAACUCAGCCUUUUUCCUUGAUUUCAACCAAAAAAGCCGCUCCCACUGAACCUGCAUGAAUGCCUGUGAAACAGAAUUUCCUGGGGGGUGAGGAAGCUGAAGAGGGGGUUACAUCAGGGAAGAGCAACUGCCUUCAGAUUCUGAAGUAGACUUCCCUGUUCUUAGCAGUUUGUUGGCCUCUCAACCAUGUGGCUUGUCAUCUUUCUUCUUUCUCCACUCCCCUCCUCCACAACUGAUCUCUUCUGCUCUCCUCUACCUCCAAGUUCUCGUUAAAUUCUAAUUCAGAAAAGUUUAAUUAAUUUUUAAUGCCCUUGUCCUCAGCUAAGGUGUGAUUCAGGAUCUCACCUUCUAAUCCUAGAUGUUUCUGAAGGUCUGUUCUUCAACAAAGAUAGCCCCCCUAAGAGAGAGUUAAAAUAAUUUCCUGUCUUGCUCUGCUAGGCCUGACUAAGGUCGAAGCUGGCUCAGGGAGCAAAGGUGGAAGGACACGGCCCCCCUCCUUCCUCCACCUGGGGAAACCUCCCCUGUGGGGUUGGGGGGAGUCACGUGCUUGCUUCCUCUUCUCCGAAGAGCAAGGAAUGCCUUUGGACCAUGAUGGUGGGGCUCUUUCCAGAUCAGAUGCUAAUCCAAGCAGCCAACCCUACAUCUGGAGGUUACCCUUGACAAAGGUAUUUCCUUUAUUAAAAAUCAAACAAAACUUUAAUCCUCACUGGAAAAAAGGUAGUGAGGUGGUUCAGAGUAAUUCUGCUGAUUAUGUCUUGCUAAGUUACCCCUAGAAAAAGGGAAAUGGACCAUCUCUCCCCUGUCCAGUCACUGAUCACCCCAGGAAAUGCACAAGAGAAUAGAACUCAACAACUCAACAGAGACUGGCUCUGUGCUGAGUACCUUGGAUACAGGAUCCCAUUUAUCUUCAGAAAGAAACUUCAAAGAUUCUCCUAGAGAUUUAUCUCCAUUACGUGGAUGAAGAAACUGAGGCCUGGAGAGGUGGAGGGACGUGCCCAAAGUGUUAAAGCCAGGGAGAGGUAGAGGGUGAUUUGAACUCAGUUUGCCCUUCUCAAAAUGCCAGUGGCUUUCUAUUAUUGUCCUCCAACCCCUGCCCCCAUCCCAUCGUGACUGCAUGCAGAGGAGAACAAACUGAGACAGGAGAGGAAGAUGCCUACAGUUCAGACAAGUGUGGAAAGGAAUAAUGACACUGAGAUUUGCAGCUGAACUCUGCAACCAGUCUCUGCAUCUUUAGUUCUUAGAUUUCCUGUGGCUCUUGGUAAGACUCCCUUGGGAAAACCUCAAAUGCGUCUCAGCUGAAUGAAGGGCAAUGAGAUUUUGUUAAUUUCUUGUAAGGAGGCUGGCAGCUGGGUGGAGAGUGGGAAAGGGGAAAGGAAAAUCAUAGAAAGAGGGGACAGGGUAGUGGAUGCUGGCAGUACCUACUCAGUGGGGGUGGGGAUGGGGAUGCAUGAGUCCUGCACAUGCUACUUUUCAUCGACACGCUCCGUGGAGUAAGUGUGGGAGCAGAGCCGGAAGGAUUUAGGGAAUGAUGGCAAGCACCUUUGUUUGUGUCUGGGAGCCAAGUGCUGUGCCAGUGCCAGUGCCAGAAUUUAUAAGCACAUUUACUCCUCCCAGCAUCAUUUUGAGUUAUUGUUGAUUGACCUUAUUUCCUAGGUAAGGAGACUAAGGAAAAUUAACAACUCGAUGAUUUACCACAGAGCUAGCCUAUACCCUCUCUGAUCUCUAAGCACUUUUCAUUUAGAGCUUUUAAUAUCCUCUACCCUUUAUUGUAAUUAUCAUAUAUGAUCAUGCCUUUUCUCCCUGAAAUUGUCCCUUGAAGUCAUCUUAUAUUAGAAUCCUUACAGAAUACUCUACAGGAUGCUUUUCACUUUAUUUUAAGCAACAAAAUGAUGAAGACAUAUUAGUCUUAAACCGUCUAAAGCAAUGCCAAUGUGGAAUCUUCUGGGAGACUCCUGGCAAUGCAAGAGAGUAGAGGACAGAGAAAUCUGACACAUAUUUGACAGUUAUUCUUGGGGAUGUGACCCCUCAGUUUUUAAGUGUUGAAGACACAGUAAACAAACCAUAUACAGAUCAUGUUAGAAACCAGUAUUAAUAUGUACUGUAUUUUAAAGAUAAGUGAUUAUCUUAUGAGAUCACAAAUAGAGAAAGGAGUAUUGUAGUUUGGGGUAAAUUUUCCACUCACAACGUCAUACUUAGGUACAAAAAGUGCUGAAUCUUAAGCGGCCUAGAUAGAUAUGCAGAUAAUGUGCUCUGGAAACUGACUUGAAGACUGGCUCUGGUGAAGAUGGAGACACUGAUGUCAAAGGCACACUGGAAGGGUUUGAUGAAAAAUAUUGCAUUGGGAGUAGGUAAAGGCAAUAUUUCUACAUUAUAGACAUGAGGCGAUUUUUAAAUAUAUCAGUUAAGCUAUUAACAUAUUAAUCAAUAUUUAUAAAUUAGCAAAUACCAUAUGUGAUUUCUAAGUAUGUAUAAGUAAUUAAAACAAUAUGUAACUAUUAUACGCAGACAUUUGUCUAUUUCGUUUACAUGCUGAUACAUCUUUAUAUUCACAUCAACAAAAUCCUUUCUUAAAUGAGUAUUGGGGGUAAAUGAAGAUGCUCUAAUAUUUGGAGUCACCUCACACUGAGUGCUUCCUCAAUGUCUUGUAUCCAUGACUUCAGCCUCAUUGAGGUGACAGCCAUGUCCUGACUCACACACCGUUCAGCCCAGCACAUAGUCUGAUCUUAGUCAAAGGGUGUUGAGUUGUUGCUAUAAUCUGACAGAUAAAAAAAUAGAAACUCCAGUGGGUUAGGAGACCGGGCCAAAGCACACAGCUAAUAAUGAGCAGAGCUGGCUGAUUCCAGAACAGUUUUCCGACAGCCUGGCCAGAGCACAAGCCACUACACCAGGCUAGACUGCAGAAAGCGUUUCCUUGUCCUCCAUUGGGAACAGCCACCUCGCAGGGCAGAGACUCCACAAAGCCUUGGCCUGGAAGCCACCGAGCUGGAGGGUAUCUAGAGACAUGUUAUUCUUGGAUCUGGCCACUACCCAGGGCAACGCCAUACACGUAAAUUUGGCUUUUUGCUAAUUUGUUAUCGAUUCAUGAUAACUGGGAAGCAAAAGUGGCAACAUUUGGUUUAGAAAUUUCCACUUUUUUUCAUUUUGGACAUAAUCUCUUUGUUUUUCUCUCACAUUCUUUUCGACACCUGAUAGCAGCACAACCCACAGCCCACACACUCGUGUAAGGAGCGCUUCCAGGGAACACAGGGCCACCACUUUCUGCAAGGGACAAGAUCAGUGGAAACCUGCAGACGUGUGUUAACGUAGGAAAUACAAGGGUUUGGGCAAAACAGGCAUUGCAGCCAGGUUACUGAUGUGGAAAGCUGGCAUGCGUUUUGAUCACUGACAUUAAUGUAGUCAUGGUUAGAGGAAGGUUUUUUAAAAUCACAUUUUAUUGAGGUUUUGGAGAUAUAGUCCCACAAGUUAAGAAAAUGUAGUCUCCUAAUAGAAUUUUAAGAACAACACUUUAAAGAAAUGUUAACAUUCCAUUAAAUAAGAAGUAUGUGGAAUGUGUGUGUGUGUGUGUGUGUGUGAUGUUUAAAUCUUCCUCACUCCUCACUCUGGACAAAUCAAGCUUUCAAAAGCAGAGCUGUCUCCGGGUGGACUCGUGCCGAAUCAUCAGUGGUUUUCUGCCUUGCUGCCUUCCCACUGUUUGAUGCAUCAAAAAGUCCUUGCUGACAUUCCACACCCCACCUUCCUUUCCGCCCCUCCUCAGGCCCCAGCUAGCUCUCGGAGUUGUCCGCCAUAAACACUCCUCCUUGGGAGUCAGUUGGGAAUGGCACGUCUCCUUUCAGUGAUUAGGUCUAGAAUGUUAGGGUGAGACGAGAUUUCGGUGGAUCUUCAUCGUAUGCAUGAAAAAAGGCUCAAGGACCAAGGCCUCAGUCUUUGGUGGUGACCUGUCAGGGGGGACUCUGAGAACACUGUUUGGGGGUUUCUCAGUGCUUUCCCAGGGCCCAGGAGAGCAACUCACAUGGACAACCCUGAUGAAGGGGAUCAGUCCUUGAGAUCCUGACACCGCUCUCCUCUUUGCCUUUCCUCUCUCCCCCAAACCCUGGCCCCUAAAUCUACCUCUCUGAAUGGGUGUGGGGGGUGGGGGCUACCUAUGAGUGGGACCAUGUGGGAAGACCAUUGCAGAUUCAGACUGCUGGCAGGGGUGGCUGGACACUUCCACUUGGAGAAGAUUGCCUGAGCUUAAAUCAUCAUCGUCAAGAACAAACAUUUACCGCAACCCCUUUAAGGGACAGCCUUUAAGUUAUUGGAAAUUUACUGUUUCAGAGGGACCAAGAGCCAGAAAGGCAGUUGAGGAUUCUCAGCAUGAUUUAGAGUUUGUUGACAUACGCCUCAUUCCUUUCUUUCUUGAUUUAUACACACAUAUAAUUCACUGCCUAAACCUGACAAAGGAGUCUCAUUGUUCCAAACAUGGGGUCCAGAUGUAUAAAGGGUCCUCAAGAUGGAACCUAGCUCCCCUCCCUGGCCUCAUGCUGUACCACUAGCCCCUCUUUCUGUGCAUCCAGCCAUCUUGUCUUCUUCGAGGGGUGAGGGUUCCCUGAUCCCUCAGUGCUGGUCAGGCCCCCCAUCUCUGCCCCAGUUAUGCACUCUCUUAGCAAUUUAGCAAUCUCUGCAGGACUUACAUGAUGGUAGUCAAGCAAUUAAUUAAUUAGUUGGUUAUUUACUCCACAUUCUUCAAUGUCAACUUCCAGAGGGCAGGGACCAUCUCUAUCUUCUCCCCCAAGACCUAAGGAGUGUACCUUGCAUAUAUGAUGGGUAAAAAAUAUUUGUUUGAAUGAUUAAUGAGGGUCAAGGGGUGGAAUGUCUGGGCAGCCACACUGAGUGUGGGUGUGGGUUGGGCCCAGCUGACUAGCUCCAUGAGCCAGAGAGACACAGCCUGGGUGGGUUCUGGGGGCAGCCAGAGGAUAGGCUUGCAGGCCAACUGGGGAGACGGAGGCUCAGCCAUGGGGCAUCUCAUGAGAAGGCGUCGGACAGCCCUGCUCCCCAGCUCCUCCAGUGUUGAGCAGAGAGCACUCUGGGAUUUGGCUUUCUGGCUCCAUGUUUUUCUGAGCAACACAAGAUUGGAAGGAAAAACAGUUUAGGAGGAAACAUGACAUUCAUUUAUUCCUUGAACAUCUGGGAAACCCUCAUGAGGAACAGGACAAGUUGCAGUGGCUAAACUCCUUCACAGUGCACAGCCAAGCAGGGAUCCUGGUCUCCUGUGGCCGUUAGAAAAGCAGUGCAGCUGUUUGUGGCUCCCCUUGAAAGAACUCCGCUGGCUUUGGAGUCAGAAAGUCUUUGGGCUCAAUUCUCUCUUUCCACUAGCUAGCUGUGUGAACUCAGGCAAGUGACUUAUCUUCUCCUUGAGCUUCAAUAUCCUUUUCUGUAAAAUGGGCAUAAUUAUUGGGUUACUAUAGGAAUUAACAGAUCAUAAGUGAAGCAUCCCACCUAGAAGCGGCACCCUGGGUAGAGAAUAGUUAACAUUACUGAUGGUGUAGUAUUGUCAGCUCCUGGAGGGAGGUCUGGCUUUGAUCACCAUGGGUUUUGACCUUUCUUUUUGUAUAUGUGUGUUUGAGGAAGAUUGGCC
This is a non-coding RNA of Equus caballus (horse), 11967 nucleotides long. Lineage: Eukaryota; Metazoa; Chordata; Mammalia; Perissodactyla; Equidae. The record is from RefSeq and is a predicted model, not a curated record.